UACGUAGGGGGCAAGCGUUGUCCGGAUUUAUUGGGCGUAAAGAGCGUGUAGGCGGUUCGGUAGGUCCGUUGUGAAAACUCGAGGCUCAACCUCGAGACGCCGAUGGAAACCCCCGAACUAGAGUCCGGAAGAGGAGAGUGGAAUUCCCGGUGUAGCGGUGAAAUGCGCAGAUAUCGGGAAGAACACCCGUGGCUAAGGCGGCUCUCUGGGCCUGUACUGACGCUGAGGAGCGAAAGCGUGGGGAGCGAACAGG
Molecule: ribosomal RNA, 253 nt
Filed under: uncultured bacterium
Lineage: Bacteria
Description: partial 16S ribosomal RNA
Rfam family: Bacterial small subunit ribosomal RNA
Source: RNAcentral